This 873-nucleotide ribosomal RNA is filed under the name Bacteroides ovatus 3_8_47FAA. Its description in RNAcentral is "bacterial SSU rRNA". It matches the Rfam family "Bacterial small subunit ribosomal RNA", at positions 8 to 872 of the family's 1533-position model. Lineage: Bacteria; Pseudomonadati; Bacteroidota; Bacteroidia; Bacteroidales; Bacteroidaceae. The record is from RNAcentral.
AGAGUUUGAUCCUGGCUCAGGAUGAACGCUAGCUACAGGCUUAACACAUGCAAGUCGAGGGGCAGCAUUUUAGUUUGCUUGCAAACUGAAGAUGGCGACCGGCGCACGGGUGAGUAACACGUAUCCAACCUGCCGAUAACUCCGGGAUAGCCUUUCGAAAGAAAGAUUAAUACCGGAUAGUAUACGAAUAUCGCAUGAUAUUUUUAUUAAAGAAUUUCGGUUAUCGAUGGGGAUGCGUUCCAUUAGUUUGUUGGCGGGGUAACGGCCCACCAAGACUACGAUGGAUAGGGGUUCUGAGAGGAAGGUCCCCCACAUUGGAACUGAGACACGGUCCAAACUCCUACGGGAGGCAGCAGUGAGGAAUAUUGGUCAAUGGGCGCGAGCCUGAACCAGCCAAGUAGCGUGAAGGAUGAAGGCUCUAUGGGUCGUAAACUUCUUUUAUAUGGGAAUAAAGUUUUCCACGUGUGGAAUUUUGUAUGUACCAUAUGAAUAAGGAUCGGCUAACUCCGUGCCAGCAGCCGCGGUAAUACGGAGGAUCCGAGCGUUAUCCGGAUUUAUUGGGUUUAAAGGGAGCGUAGGUGGAUUGUUAAGUCAGUUGUGAAAGUUUGCGGCUCAACCGUAAAAUUGCAGUUGAAACUGGCAGUCUUGAGUACAGUAGAGGUGGGCGGAAUUCGUGGUGUAGCGGUGAAAUGCUUAGAUAUCACGAAGAACUCCGAUUGCGAAGGCAGCUCACUAGACUGUCACUGACACUGAUGCUCGAAAGUGUGGGUAUCAAACAGGAUUAGAUACCCUGGUAGUCCACACAGUAAACGAUGAAUACUCGCUGUUUGCGAUAUACAGUAAGCGGCCAAGCGAAAGCAUUAAGUAUUCCAC